CUGGCGCAAAGUGGACCGGCUCCAAAUGUUUUAGCGGUUUGGUGCUACAAGUUUCUGUGCAGUGGAUCUUUGAAAUUUGAAGACCUGGACAAAACUGCUCUGGGAGAUGACCAACAUAUUGAGCUUAUUUCCAAGUGCUGUUAUUCUCCAUGAAGCAACCCUGAAGCUGUUCCCAAUACUGCAGCAGGUAAGGAAUGGUUUGCAGCUGUAUGGGCUUUCUGAUCUAAUGGCCAAAUACCCUGAUAUCUGCCAGCCACUUUUCACCCCUGGGGUAGAAAUGAUUGUAAGUCCAUGUUUUUUUAUUCUAAAUUGACACAUUUUACUCAUUGAACCACUAAAUGUUGGUACUGCCUGGUACCAACAGAUGUGUUUAAAUAUUGUUUUUACUAUUGGUUAACUCUUAACUUGCGGUAUAUUCAGGAAAAUGUCAUGUAGAAAAACAAGUCUCUACAUUUUUUGUUUUACUAAUUCAUCUGAUUUAUUGUGUCAGGCUGAUGCAGACUUUGUCAUGUCAGUUUGCCGGGCAGAGUUCAGCGAGGAGGGGUCAAAUAAGGAACACCUGGAGGUGACCUUAAUGAACCACCUGCAAGAUUUACUUCAGGAACUGGAGCAAAGUCAUUAUUCUUUUUUAACCUGUAUUUUGUAGGGGGAAAUUAACCCUAUUGUGUUCAGUUCAUUAAUUGGUCAACUAAGACAAUGAAUUGUGUUAAUUAAUUAUCAGAGGUGGUAAAAAACACAGUCUUGUUUGAAUCCCAUGGGUCAUAGGGUUGCAUGAGGUCAGGGAUCUCCCGUGUUUGUCACAAAUAUUAAGAAACACAAAAAUAACACACAAUUAUUGACAGGAUAUUCAUAACAAGGUAAAUAAGGCAUUAAAUAAGUAUAAUGAAGAAGUAUGUGGAUAAUAGGAACAUGGAUUCACCUCAGAAUAGCAAUAAGGUUUACUAAGUUAUUCUGUAGGAAGAGAGCAGAGCUGAAAACUGCACCUGAAUGGAACAUAUGACCUAAACUAAUAUUAACAAGAAUAAAACCAGAACUAGAAAAGGCAAAGUUCCUGAACCAACUUUAAGUUGGCUUGGAAAAGUACGCUAAUAUCGUUGAAAAGUUGUUAAGUGUUUUCUAGGCAGUUGCUAUCUAAACUGGUUGCUAAGGUUUUCACAGACAGUUGCUAGUGUGGGUGGUGUGGUAUGUGUGUGGGGUGUGCAGUGUGGGGUGUAGUGUGUGUGUGACGUAGUGUGGCAUGUAUGUGGGGUUUAAAUGGUGGGGUAUGUGGUGUGAUAUGUGGGUUAUAUAAAUAUAUAUAUUUAAGGGUGUGAUUGGAGAUAACCACACCUUCACACUCUUAUUCUUAAUUGUUUUAUACAUUUAUAUAUACAGUUAUUAUUUUUACUGUUCACUUAAUAAUUUAGCUUUACGAUCUUUGCUCUAUUUUUAACUGUCACAAUGACACAAGGCUUUGGAGGUUGUUUGUACUUUUUCAGGAAUCAGGAAGGUCAGAGUGUUUUCAUCAACAGUGAGAGCUGUGAGGAGAACGUGACCCUGAGUGGCAGAGAAGCUUCACUGCUGUUCUGCUGUUCUGGGA
This is a long non-coding RNA of Astyanax mexicanus (Mexican tetra), 1579 nucleotides long. RefSeq lists it as uncharacterized. The transcript has 2 exons. The record is from RefSeq and is a predicted model, not a curated record. NCBI's taxonomy places the organism in Eukaryota, Metazoa, Chordata, Actinopteri, Characiformes, Acestrorhamphidae.